Molecule: microRNA, 21 nt
Filed under: Medicago truncatula (barrel medic)
Lineage: Eukaryota; Viridiplantae; Streptophyta; Magnoliopsida; Fabales; Fabaceae
Description: mtr-miR7696a-5p
Source: miRBase by way of RNAcentral
UCAAGUUCUCAUAAUUCAAAA